Molecule: transfer RNA, 59 nt
Filed under: Pseudomonas aeruginosa
Lineage: Bacteria; Pseudomonadati; Pseudomonadota; Gammaproteobacteria; Pseudomonadales; Pseudomonadaceae
Also listed under: 1 other name
Description: tRNA-Ile
Rfam family: tRNA
About the family: Transfer RNA (tRNA) molecules are approximately 80 nucleotides in length. Their secondary structure includes four short double-helical elements and three loops (D, anti-codon, and T loops). Further hydrogen bonds mediate the characteristic L-shaped molecular structure. tRNAs have two regions of fundamental functional importance: the anti-codon, which is responsible for specific mRNA codon recognition, and the 3' end, to which the tRNAs corresponding amino acid is attached (by aminoacyl-tRNA synthetases). tRNAs cope with the degeneracy of the genetic code in two manners: having more than one tRNA (with a specific anti-codon) for a particular amino acid; and 'wobble' base-pairing, i.e. permitting non-standard base-pairing at the 3rd anti-codon position.
Source: RNAcentral
AGCUCAGUUGGUUAGAGCACACGCUUGAUAAGCGUGGGGUCACAAGUUCAAGUCUUGUC